CAAGUUAGAGAAAAAAAUUCCCUAGCUAAGCUUUAUGUAAUCAAAGCUCCCAAACACGGCCAAAAUCUAAACUUCAAUACUUCAUGUCGACUCCAUUGUUCCAACCUACUAGAGAAUCAUUCUCACCUUGUUAUCAAUUGUUUUCUUAUGAAAUCCUAAAUCGUGUUAACCAACUUAACCUUAAAUAACAUUAAAAUCAAAUCAAAACUGAAAUUAUUCUGAGUUUCCUCCUUUCUUCUUCUUUUUCUUCUUCUUCGACGAUAACCUGGAUAAUGAUAAUAUGGUGUUACAAACCCUAGGUACUGAAAUAUCGUAUGAUAUGGGAUUUCGUAAUUCCUGGAAUUGACUGCUAUGUGGAGUAGAUGAGGAAAGGGAAAAUAAAAUAAAAUAGAAGUAGGUCAAUGAAGUGGUGGUGGUGGUUAUUCUUAACUUCAUCAGAAAAAGAUGAACAUCCUAAAGAUUGAUAGGAACAGUUUUCUAGAAGGAUUACUGGUAUGGGUUUUCAUUUGUGUUAUUCAUCUACUGUAUGUACUGAUGGGUUACUCUUAUGAUUUACACUGCUUUUGCUUGUUGUGUUAUAUUGAUAGAACAUAGACACUGUUAUUAUGCAGUGUAACUAGAUUGGGAUCUACUGAGGUUAUAUACAGAAUGUUUCUAGGUAAUGUAGUCUCAAGCAUUUCAGCAGGGUACAUACACAAAUUUGUUUUAUGAUCAAUUUUCAUAUGGUUCAUUGUUGUAUAUUCGUGUAGAAGUAUAACUGUGACUGGAUAAUACUCAAUUAUUCACACUUAUUGAAUAUAUGUUGUUGUCUAAAAAGAAAAAUUAGUUGUUGGAGAAUGAAGCAACUUUGUAUACUUCUGCAGUUUUCUUUCCAUUGUUGCUUUGAUAAUUCGUUUGUGAUUCUUUUUUUUUAUUCUUAUGCAUGUUGGUACGAACAUUUCAUUCAGACUUCCUAUUGUAUUCUCAUCUUCGUUCAAGAUUUUGUUCCAAUAAAUUGAAAGCUGCACUAGAUGAACCAUCACUAGCAUAGUUACAUGCGGCAUCGAUAGAGAGAGUUGUGUUGGCAUCCAGACAGAGUUAUGGAAUCUCUGUUAUACCGUUUUCUUGAAGUUGCAAGAUGUGAAGUUGAUGAAAUUGAAGUGGCACAUCAUCUCCGAAGUAACUCUGUGGGAACUAUAAGAAUGUUCUGGGCUUCUUUCCUUUCCUAGCUUUCUUACUUCUUAGGAAGUUGUAGCUUUUGUAUCACCAAAAGGUCUAAAUUUUUGGGUUCAUUUUAGAGAUCUUCUUAUCAAGGGGAAGGACAAUCACAUUUGAACUUCUUUAUCUCUUAAUAAGAUCGUCUUAUAGUUGAUCUGAAAUUCCAGAUGCUCAUAGGAGUUUGGUUGGAUAAGAACGAUUUUAUGAAGCAAGGCAAUGAAUACAGGCAUGAACUGUUUCAGUUUGCAAUGAGUUUCAAACAUUUCGUAACUCUUCAUGAUGCUUCCAACUUAUCUUGUUGCAGGUUUUGGUCGAAUCGGUGACUGAGUGAGUGAGUUUGGAAAAUUGGUGGUUGAUCCAAAAACCAAUGAACUUCUGCACUUCACGGAGAAACCCGAGACAUUUGUAUGUACAAGGCCCAAAGUUCGCUGACUUUUUUGAUCAUAUUUAAGUGAUACAGUGUUUUAACGAUUCAAGUGCUAAUCUCCGACGUGUAUCCAGCUUUCUCUUCAGUUUGCAACAAACUAACAUUGAACGUGUAUCCAACUUUCUGUUCAGUCCGCAAAAAGUGAUUCCCUACUGAUUUUAUAAGUCUGGAUCAAGAUAUAAGUAAACUCCUAUUGCUGGGAAGAGAAAUAACUUUAUACUUUUGAGAGUAUAUUUCUGGGAACACAUCAAAACUCCUGAGUAGACCAAUCUGCAAGUAAAGGAAUGUUGCAUCAUCCAUCUUUUGAGAGUAAUGUCCAACGUUUGUUGGAAACUCUGUACUAGUCUUGAAUUUCUGUUAUGCUUAGGUUUUCAUUGUGUUGGUUCCAGUGAAAUUAUGACCUUGUAAUUCUUUUCUGAAUGAAUAAAUGAUGUUGGAA
Molecule: long non-coding RNA, 2063 nt
Organism: Papaver somniferum (opium poppy)
Lineage: Eukaryota; Viridiplantae; Streptophyta; Magnoliopsida; Ranunculales; Papaveraceae
Exons: 5
Source: RefSeq, a predicted model, not a curated record